GAGGAGCUUGCUCUUCGAUUCAGCGGCGGACGGGUGAGUAAUGCCUAGGAAUCUGCCUGGUAGUGGGGGACAACGUUUCGAAAGGAACGCUAAUACCGCAUACGUCCUACGGGAGAAAGCAGGGGACCUUCGGGCCUUGCGCUAUCAGAUGAGCCUAGGUCGGAUUAGCUAGUUGGUGAGGUAAUGGCUCACCAAGGCGACGAUCCGUAACUGGUCUGAGAGGAUGAUCAGUCACACUGGAACUGAGACACAAUCCAGACUCAUACGGGAGGCAGCAGUGGGGAAUAUUGGACAAUGGGCGAACGCCUGAUCCAGCCGUGCCGCGAGUGUGACGAAGGUCUUCGGAUUGUAAAGCACUGGAAGGGGGGAGGAAGGUCAUUAACCUAGUGUGUUAGUGUUUUGACGAAACCGAGAGAAUAAGCACCGGUUAACUCUGUGCCAGCAGAAGAGAAAAUACAGAGGGUGCAAGCGUUAAUCGGAAUUACUGGGCGUAAAGCGCGUUUAGUUGGUUUGUUAAGUUGAAUGUGAAAUCCCCGGGCUCAACCUGGCAACUGCAUCCAAAACUGGCAAGCUGG
This 575-nucleotide ribosomal RNA is filed under the name Pseudomonas sp. enrichment culture clone C-3-5c. Its description in RNAcentral is "bacterial SSU rRNA". It matches the Rfam family "Bacterial small subunit ribosomal RNA", at positions 73 to 644 of the family's 1533-position model. Lineage: Bacteria; Pseudomonadati; Pseudomonadota; Gammaproteobacteria; Pseudomonadales; Pseudomonadaceae. The record is from RNAcentral.